Molecule: long non-coding RNA, 2195 nt
Organism: Cyprinus carpio (common carp)
Lineage: Eukaryota; Metazoa; Chordata; Actinopteri; Cypriniformes; Cyprinidae
Exons: 6
Source: RefSeq, a predicted model, not a curated record
ACGUAUGACAAGUAUUACAAAAUACAGAGUAUAUUCAAUGCAUUCUAAAAGCGUAUUUAUUUAUUUUUCUAUAACUAUGUACAUUGUUGGAAUCUCCCAAAGCACCUCAGCGCCAUCUGUUGACAACCACAGCUCAAACAGAGACAUAGGGACAAUACAGGGCCAAGUUCAUUCAUCAUGUUGAGUUUUUACAAAAGUUAUUUACAAAUGAUUCCCGUUUCAUCUGGAUCUCUGUAACUACUCGUAUUUGGACAAUACGAAUGCUUGUUAUGUGAGUGACCCAGCAGCAGUGCUAUGAGAGCUAGCAGCAUGCCGCUCCUUUAAUGACCUAUGAGAGCUGUGGACCCAGGCCAUACACGGGGAACCUGAGAACCUGCUGAGCAACUUCUGUUGAUCUAAGCCAGCAGGUGAGAUGCAUCAAUUCACAGGAGUCCGUCAUAGACCUCCACAGCCUGAGAAAUUUAACCUCUUGAUGAAAACCGCAAUGUCCUGACCUAAAACCAGAGAUGUGAACAACAGCAAAUAAAACACAGGAUAUACUCGAUGUAAGUGGCGUACUGCUCCUUGAGAGGCUCUCAUGGGUGUCCCGAGCAGCCCUGGCACCCUGUGUUCCUCUCCUUAGACCCGGGCCUGUGCCAUCUGCCUCUGUCACUGCCACCGUUGGGCACUGGGAGUCAGUGUGCAUGAGGCAGUCCUCUUCUUCUGCAAGAAAUCAACACACGCUGUGGCUGCUGCAGCUUUCAGCCGGCAAACAUAUUCCCGGAAAGAGCAAGAAGAAAUUACAACAAUGAGAAGGCAUGUGGUUGAAUGUCCCACCUCUAGAGUGACCACUUCCUGUUCCGCUUCAUCUCGGACAGCAGCAUGGAGGUAUUUAGUCGUCCGAGACGAGGGCUGUCUGUUUUCCUGCGGUUGCUUCACCCGAUUCCCCUCCACUGCACACCAGAUGUAACCAAAGCAGAGGACAAAACAAGUGCAUUAUUUUUUCAGAGGCAUGUCUAGUAUGAGACAGUGAUGCACGCUGACAGGGCCUGCUAAUUGGAGUAAAUUAAUUUACCUCGGGCGCCAUGUUCUCACAAAGUGCCGCGCUCCAUGUGAAUAAGUGAUGAUCGGCAGGGCUCGUAUAAGCCCCGAGUUUUUAAAUCAUUUAGCAGCGCAUUCUGCUAAUUAGCACAGAGAAAGUCGGCUUUCAGCUACAAUUAAGACGGGCCUCUGUCAGUCAGGGGACCGCAGCCGGGAAGAAGCACUGAUUUAUUCAUCCUGCAAGCAGAUGCUGAGUGCAUUGGGGGUUUGGAUGGAGGGACUUGGAGAUGAAGCAAGCAAGGGGAUCUGAGAGAUGAAGGCAGUGAGGGAGAGGACUGCAGUAUGUGUGUGGGUUGCUAUUAGUGUGCUGGUGCAGAAAUUUUGUUUUAAUUUUUUUUUUCUCUGCAAGAAAAGGCACAAACAAAGCAAUGAGAUGAGCUGGUGGAGUACAGUAAGUGAGGUUGUGUGUAUAACUUGUGAUUGGUCACCUAUGGGCUUUACUUCCCAUGCUUAGUUGACAAGACUCUUUCCAGGACUGUUGCAAGGUCAUUCCUGUUACGUUUGAGGUUGCGGUUAUAAUUUAAAGGGACAGUUCACCCAAAAAUGAAAAUUCUGUCAUUUACUUACCCUCAUGUCAUUCCAAACCUGUAAGACAUUCGUUCAACUUCUGAACGCAAAUGAAGACAUUUUUAAUGAAAUAUGAGAGAUUUCUGUCCCUCCACUGACAGACUAUCACUUUUUGAUGCUUCAGAAAUUUCUUAAAAAGAUUGUAAAACUAAUCCAUAUGAAUUUAGUGGUUUAGUCCAAAUUUUCUGAUUACUUUAUAUGAUGAACAAAUUUAAUUUAGGCUUUUAUUCACAUAUAAACAUUAAUCAGUGCACACAGUUGUGGCAAAUAGAAGUUCAAGCAUGCUUGCUUGAAGUGUGAGAACCAAUGAGGUACAUUCUUGUGUGUUAGGCAGCACAUUUGGGCUUCCCUAAGAAUCAUUAUCAUUUGGUUGAGCUUCUGUUUGUGUUUGCUGAUCAAUGUAAAUAAAAGCUUAAAUUAAAUCUUAUGAAUCAUAUGAAGCAAUCAAGUCUCUUGAGAAGCAUUUCAGCUGUCAACAAAGCUUUAAUUGCUCCCCGAAAUUUUCUGCUAAAAUAAAAAGUUUAACAUUUGAAAAUGAACAAAUUAAA